RNAcentral lists this ribosomal RNA (449 nucleotides) under uncultured bacterium. Its description in RNAcentral is "partial 16S ribosomal RNA". It matches the Rfam family "Bacterial small subunit ribosomal RNA", at positions 29 to 523 of the family's 1533-position model. The record is from RNAcentral.
AACGAACGCUGGCGGCAUGCCUAACACAUGCAAGUCGAACGAGAUCUUCGGGUCUAGUGGCGCACGGGUGCGUAACGCGUGGGAAUCUGCCCUUUGGUUCGGAAUAACAGUUGGAAACGACUGCUAAUACCGGUUGAUGACGAAAGUCCAAAGAUUUAUCGCCAGAGGAUGGGCCCGCGUAGGAUUAGCUAGUUGGUGUGGUAAAGGCGCACCAAGGCGACGAUCCUUAGCUGGUCUGAGAGGAUGAUCAGCCACACUGGGACUGAGACACGGCCCAGACUCCUACGGGAGGCAGCAGUGGGGAAUAUUGGGCAAUGGGCGAAAACCUGAUCCAGCAAUGCCGCGUGAGUGAUGAAGGCCUUAGGGUUGUAAAGCUCUUUUACCCGGGAUGAUAAUGACAGUACCGGGAGAAUAAGCUCCGGCUAACUCCGUGCCAGCCGCCGCCGUAA